CUAAUCCGUCACGCAAGCGUCCCUACGAGGGAUCUCCUACAAACGCGGGUUUACGCCGAGAAAUAAGGUCGACAACCUCAUCUGGGAAUGGUAAAAUUAAAACCUCUUUUUUUCUGCCCCACCCCCCCCCCCCCCACUCAAACGUGUUUUAUUCAUCUCGAGUAUGAAUAAUAUUUUUCCCCUUUUCAACUUUGACGAUAAUACGAGUUGCUCGGCUCGCCGGCAGAUAUUUUGUGUGACUAAGUGCCAGUUACAUCCAUUGGCACAUUCGCAUUGCACGAAUAUCUCCAGAGAAGGUCACGCGCGGUGUCAAAACAACUCAGUUGCUUUUCAAGCAAUAUUAACUCAUCUGCUUGAUUCACAGAAUCGGUUUCAUUUCAUCACAAAAUGCUCAACUUUUAUCCGAAUGCAAAAAACCUUUGGGAACCUUAGCAAUUAAAGAUUCCGAAAAAUCCAAAGGGCACUCUGAAGCGAACCGGUGGAAAUGCUGCACGGAGACUUGUCACAAGAAUACAAGAGCAAGGAAGAAAAAGCUCGCCGGUGAUUCCCAAGCGGCCGCCAUGUUGCAGGUUGACUGCUCUCCGCUUCCUCCAGAGCUGCGGUCUCGAGGCGGCUAAAGCAUCCUGCCACCAGGGGGAGGAGGAGGGGUGCCAAUGACGCCGGCAUGCGCACAAACCCAAAGAAAAAACUUCCUCCCGUGUGUGUGUGUGUGUGUGUGUGUGUGUGUGUGUGUGUGUGUGUGUGUGUGUGUGUGUGUGUGUGUGUGUGUGUGUGUGUGUGAUUGCACAGCUUUGCUUAUUUUGCCUGCAUACUAAAAAUGAGCAUUAUGAUCAAACAAAGGUCACAUAAUCCUACUUUGUAGAGCAGAGUUCCAUCACUUUGCACAGUAUCGUGUGUGUGUGUGUGUGUAGUUGUGUGUACGGGACUGCACGUUGCUAGGCAACCGCAUUGUCAUUUUCACCUCCAGUGAAAGAGAUUUUGUGAACUCACCCAAAAGUGCGCACCCGCCCUGCGUGACUAACACACACACAUUCGUUAAUAUCAUUAUCUAUAAAAAAUAAUUAUUCUGUUGCAUAUAAAAUCACCAAUAACAGUGAAAUAGAAUGUAGAACAUUUAAAAAUGACACCUAUGAUCCUGCAUGACUAACGUUUCAAGUUCACAAGAAAAGGUU
Syngnathus typhle (broad-nosed pipefish) is the source of this 1172-nucleotide long non-coding RNA. RefSeq lists it as uncharacterized. The transcript has 3 exons. NCBI's taxonomy places the organism in Eukaryota, Metazoa, Chordata, Actinopteri, Syngnathiformes, Syngnathidae. The record is from RefSeq and is a predicted model, not a curated record.